RNAcentral lists this ribosomal RNA (513 nucleotides) under uncultured bacterium. Its description in RNAcentral is "partial 16S ribosomal RNA". It matches the Rfam family "Bacterial small subunit ribosomal RNA", at positions 29 to 523 of the family's 1533-position model. The record is from RNAcentral.
AGCGAACGUUAGCGGCGGGCCUAACACAUGCAAGUCGAGCGAGAAAGGGGCUUCGGCCCUGAGUAAAGCGGCGGACGGGUGAGUAACACGUAGGUAAUCUUCCUUCGAGCGGGGGACAACGGUCCGAAAGGACCGCUAAUACCGCGUACGUUCCCGAGGACCCUGGUCCUUGGGAGGAAAGCUAGGUCGCAAGAUUCGGCACUCGGAGAGGUGCCUGCGUCGCAUCAGCUAGUUGGUGGGGUAAUGGCCUACCAAGGCGAAGACGCGUAGCUGGUCUGAGAGGAUGAUCAGCCACACUGGGACUGAGACACGGCCCAGACUCCUACGGGAGGCAGCAGUGGGGAAUAUUGGACAAUGGGCGCAAGCCUGAUCCAGCCACGCCGCGUGAGUGAUGAAGGCCUUCGGGUCGUAAAGCUCUGUGGGGAGGGACGAACCGCUGCACGUGCAUAGCGUGCAGCAUGACGGUACCUCCUUAGCAAGCACCGGCUAACUUCGUACCAGCCGCCGCAGUAA